RNAcentral lists this long non-coding RNA (676 nucleotides) under Homo sapiens (human). RNAcentral's name for it is "long non-coding RNA NONHSAT250422". The record is from RNAcentral. Lineage: Eukaryota; Metazoa; Chordata; Mammalia; Primates; Hominidae.
AGAACCCUUCCGCUUCCCUUUACUUGUGGCCUUCCUGGCCAGGCUUAUGUAUACUGAACAAAGCUAGGGUGCAGUGCUUCUGAGCUAGCUGUUAGGGGUCCACAGCCAGAAGGAAUGGGAGACCACAGGAGCCAUUCAAAAGAUAAUUACAUGUCAGAAGAGAGUCCAUCCAUGGGGUUCUGUUAAAGUAGACACCUUCACGUUGGGAGACAUAGGCUUUGUCUGCUUGCUGGGCUGAACCCUCACCAUAUCCACAGAGAACAAAAUGGGGAGCAGCUGUACCAGGGGAGGGAUGAACGUCUUUCACCCAAGUUGCCAGUCUGCUAGUUGUCUGGAAAUGUUCAAGGGAGGCUAAGGUAUCUUGUCUUAUGAUGUCUCAGGAAACAGGGUUGGUUCUCAGCUGGCAGUGAAGGGGGACUGGUGUGGUAUUAGCAGUUGAACUUGAGGUUGCAAUCUCAAGUCACCCUCUGGCCUCGCAGGAAUGCACCAGGGUGAUUUGGGAGGAUCUGAGUUUCCUUUAUGAAGUCAGAUUAAAAAAAAAAAAAGCUGAUCUGAUUUAAACAGAGUUGCCAAAGACUUCCCCGCCAAUACACAAAGACUGCAUUGUUCAGGUACCCUGUGUACUCUAAGUGAGACACCAAAUCAGAUGCAGCAACCUGGUCUUGCAUAAGCCCUG